This 420-nucleotide ribosomal RNA is filed under the name uncultured bacterium. RNAcentral's name for it is "bacterial SSU rRNA". It matches the Rfam family "Bacterial small subunit ribosomal RNA", at positions 28 to 430 of the family's 1533-position model. The record is from RNAcentral.
GAUGAACGCUGGCGGCGUGCUUAACACAUGCAAGUCGAGCGAAGCACUUACCAUUGACUCUUCGGAAGAUUUGGUAAAUGACUGAGCGGCGGACGGGUGAGUAACGCGUGGGUAACCUGCCUCAUACAGGGGAAUAACAGUUAGAAAUGGCUGCUAAUGCCGCAUAAGCGCACAGUACCGCAUGGUACGGUGUGAAAAACCGAGGUGGUAUGAGAUGGACCCGCGUCUGAUUAGGUAGUUGGUGGGGUAACGGCCUACCAAGCCGACGAUCAGUAGCCGGCCUGAGAGGGUGAACGGCCACAUUGGGACUGAGACACGGCCCAGACUCCUGCGGGAGGCAGCAGUGGGGAAUAUUGCACAAUGGGGGAAACCCUGAUGCAGCGACGCCGCGUGAAGGAAGAAGUAUCUCGGUAUGUAAAC